Molecule: long non-coding RNA, 1385 nt
Filed under: Mus musculus (house mouse)
Lineage: Eukaryota; Metazoa; Chordata; Mammalia; Rodentia; Muridae
Description: long non-coding RNA chr13:112213271-112214656
Source: RNAcentral
ACACUCACAGGGGAGCAAAGGAGCUAGUCAGUCACCGACGGAACCAGCAUAUUCGCAGAGCUCUGGUGUGAAUGUGGAUUUAAACAAGAAACAAUGCUUCCUGGUUCUAAAGCCAUCUUUUAAGAUUUUUAGUGUAAUUUUGGACUCCCUAUAAGAGGUCUUCGGUUGUUCACAAGGACAAUCUCUGUUUUGUUUUGUUUUGUUUUGUUUUUUUCUCCACACCCUUCCCCCAAUCCUCUUCAACUCUCUUCUGAGGAUUUUAUUUCCCUGGCUUCAGUACAUCUUUAUCUUUACAUUUCCAUUCGAAAAUGACCGUGUAGCUAUCAUUCUCUUGGUGCCUUGGUCGAAUACUCCCUGAUUUAGACGUGAGAACUCCCUUCUCUGAAGCGCAUCACUGAGGUGAAGGAUCUGAAGCCGCUAACGGUGGUGGCGGAAGGGACAUCAGGCAUCUCCUUGACAAGCUUCAGUCGGCCAGAGUCCAAGAUGAAGCCGAGAGAACUGAAAGAGCCUUUGGCUACCGGGGCGGGUGAUGGACAGAGAGUGCUGUGAAAGGAGACUGGCCAACGGCAAAGAGGGGCCUGGUAAAGAAUUGGCAAGGCUGUGUGAAGCCCCUCGGUGGAAAAGCCCGAGCUUCAGCGUGUCCGUCUGUCGCACCGUGCUAGGAGGCGAAUCAUUUUGGCCUGGGGAAGUUGCCUGCCAGGAAGCUACCCAUCUGUGGGGGCCUUUGGGAAAGUGGAUGUGUCUGGACUCCUGCCCGACCCUGUGGAAAAGGAUGAGAAGAAAAGGCCCCACAGUGAGAGAUCAGGCUGAGAGACGAGGAGCACCCCCGUGGCUGACACUCAUGAGUCAGAGCAAUGGGAAGGAGUUGGGAAACGGAGGAAAAGGAUGUGGGGGUGGGAGGAGGCGGGAGGCAGCUUUGUUUCUUCAGUCUGGGUCUGUCAGGACCUGUCUCCUUCCUUGACGGAUUCCCCCAUUUGGCAUUCUUCACCCAUCCUUUGAAAACUCAAGUCUGACUUCUUCCAGGUGAGGAAUCUACUCGUGGUCUCUCAGAGGAGCACACACCCUGUGAGAGAACUCUCUUCCAGAAGAAAAAAGAAAAUCUGCGGUUUUGUGUGCUAUGCUGACAGGGACUGAGCUACUGCCUCGGAGCCUUGGGCCUUGGUGGCCACAUCAGUGUCCUCUUCUCUCUCUAGAGUCCUUGUCACAGGGUUUUGCUUCCCUCUGACCUUUGCGACGCCAGGUUUACCGUUCUGUCUUCCUUUUCUAAGUGGGCUGGCUUGUACCCAUAUUCCCACCAACUCCCUUCCCAAGACUGGCCAGACAAAUGUCCUUCCCAUUGAUAACUGGCAGGGACAAAAUUCAUUAAAAAAAAAAAAUUCUUGCUG